GUUGAUCCUGCCGGAGGCCACUGCUAUCGGAGUUCGAUUAAGCCAUGCGAGUCGAGAGGUGCAAGACCUCGGCAUACUGCUCAGUAACACGUGGACAACCUACCCUAUGGAGGGGGAUAACCCCGGGAAACUGGGGAUAAUACCCCAUAGACUAUAGAUGCUGGAAUGCUUUGUAGUUGAAAGGUCCGCCGCCAUAGGAUGGGUCUGCGGCCGAUUAGGUUGUUGUUGGGGUAACGGCCCAACAAGCCUGUAAUCGGUACGGGUUGUGGGAGCAAGAGGCCGGAGAUGGAUUCUGAGACACGAAUCCAGGCCCUACGGGGCGCAGCAGGCGCGAAAACUUUACAAUGCGGGAAACCGUGAUAAGGGAACUCCGAGUGCCCGUAAAAUCGGGCUGUCCAUCUGUUUAAAUAACAGGUGAAGAAAGGGCCGGGCAAGACCGGUGCCAGCCGCCGCGGUAAUACCGGCGGCUCGAGUGGUGGCCACUAUUACUGGGCUUAAAGCGUUCGUAGCUGGUCUGUUAAGUCUCUGGGGAAAUCUACUGGCUUAACCAAUAGGCGUCUCAGGGAUACUGGCAGACUAGGGACCGGGAGAGGUGAGAGGUACUCCAGGGGUAGGAGUGAAAUCCUGUAAUCCUUGGGGGACCACCUGUGGCGAAGGCGUCUCACCAGAACGGCUCCGACAGUGAGGGACGAAAGCUGGGGGAGCAAACCGGAUUAGAUACCCGGGUAGUCCCAGCCGUAAACGAUGCGCGUUAGGUGUAUCGGUGACCACGAGUCACCGACGUGCCGAAGAGAAAUCGUGAAACGUGCCGCCUGGGAAGUACAGUCGCAAGGCUGAAACUUAAAGGAAUUGGCGGGGGAGCACCACAACGG
Molecule: ribosomal RNA, 872 nt
Filed under: uncultured archaeon
Lineage: Archaea
Description: bacterial SSU rRNA
Rfam family: Archaeal small subunit ribosomal RNA
Source: RNAcentral